CCCUUAGAUGUUCUGGGCCGCACGCGCGCUACACUGAUGCAUUCAACGAGCCUAUCCUUGACCGACAGGUCCGGGUAAUCUUUGAAUCUGCAUCGUGACGGGGAUAGAUUAUUGCAAUUAUUAAUCUUCAACGAGGAAUGCCUAGUAGGCGCAAGUCAUCAGCUUGCGUCGAUUACGUCCCUGCCCUUUGUACACACCGCCCGUCGCUCCUACCGAUUGGGUGUGCUGGUGAAAUGUUCGGAUCGGCCGUUUGUCGCGGUUUCCGCGGCUCGAGGCUGAGAAGUUCAUUAAACCCUCCCACCUAGAGGAAGGAGAAGUCGUAACA
Molecule: ribosomal RNA, 325 nt
Filed under: uncultured eukaryote
Lineage: Eukaryota
Description: partial 18S ribosomal RNA
Rfam family: Eukaryotic small subunit ribosomal RNA
Source: RNAcentral